UAUUCGUCUUUGUGAAAUAGGUCAGUCGCCAUGAACCCGCAGGAGCAGGCAUGUUGUGUGGAGAGGUUUAUAGAAACGGAAUCGUUAUACAGGUCCCGAAGACGUUUCGGAACAACGGAUUAUAAGACGCUACCAUCAAAACCCGAGCACGCGCCUGGUACCAGCAGUUUAAGGAGACCGGAAAUAUUUUGAAGAAGACAGACGCCACCACGAACACACCAUCGCGUCUUGUUACUCCACGUGUUGUUACAAUCCACUGCAUUGCAACCCCAAUGCUGGGAUACGAUAAAUUUCUCCUGAGAACAGGACACGAGUCAUGUCAGAUGUCCGGAGCUUACUACGAGAAUAGGUCCUCCUUUCUCAGGUUUCCUUGGUAUUUGAUGUGUGCGUUUGCGAGUAGUGAGUGACCAGCCGACUAACUGCACAAUUUUUACUCAAUCCAGAUUUUGACUGCCAGAGCCAUCUAAUAGUGAAUGAGAGACUUGGAUGAGAUAUGACCGCUGAAUUUUGCUUACGAAACAUCUCGUAUCAUUUUCGUAAGGUUCUUUUA
This is a long non-coding RNA of Zootermopsis nevadensis, 550 nucleotides long. RefSeq lists it as uncharacterized. NCBI's taxonomy places the organism in Eukaryota, Metazoa, Arthropoda, Insecta, Blattodea, Termopsidae. The record is from RefSeq and is a predicted model, not a curated record.